RNAcentral lists this unclassified non-coding RNA (185 nucleotides) under uncultured Veronaea. RNAcentral describes it as "sequence contains ITS2". The record is from RNAcentral. Lineage: Eukaryota; Fungi; Ascomycota; Eurotiomycetes; Chaetothyriales; Herpotrichiellaceae.
UCACCCCUCAAGCCCCCAGCUUGGUGUUGGAUGGUCGGUGGGACCCCUCGGGUUCCACCCCUCCCAAAGACAAUGACGGCGGCCUCGUUGGACCCCCGGUACACUGAGUUCUUCACCGAACACGUACUGGACUAAGGGCCCGCGGGGCACGGUCUGCCUCCCCUCAGGGAGAAUUUUUAACAAGG